AGGGAUCAUUACCGAGUUUACAACUCCCAAACCCAAUGUGAACGUUACCAAACUGUUGCCUCGGCGGGAUCUCUGCCCCGGGUGCGUCGCAGCCCCGGACCAAGGCGCCCGCCGGAGGACCAACCAAAACUCUUAUUGUAUACCCCCUCGCGGGUUUUUUUAUAAUCUGAGCCUUCUCGGCGCCUCUCGUAGGCGUUUCGAAAAUGAAUCAAAACUUUCAACAACGGAUCUCUUGGUUCUGGCAUCGAUGAAGAACGCAGCGAAAUGCGAUAAGUAAUGUGAAUUGCAGAAUUCAGUGAAUCAUCGAAUCUUUGAACGCACAUUGCGCCCGCCAGUAUUCUGGCGGGCAUGCCUGUCCGAGCGUCAUUUCAACCCUCGAACCCCUCCGGGGGGUCGGCGUUGGGGAUCGGCCCUGCCUUGGCGGUGGCCGUCUCCGAAAUACAGUGGCGGUCUCGCCGCAGCCUCUCCUGCGCAGUAGUUUGCACACUCGCAUCGGGAGCGCGGCGCGUCCACAGCCGUUAAACACCCAACUUCUGAAAUGUUGACCUCGGAUCAGGUAGGAAUACCCGCUGAACUUAA
Molecule: ribosomal RNA, 579 nt
Filed under: Trichoderma sp. T1 BD-2013
Lineage: Eukaryota; Fungi; Ascomycota; Sordariomycetes; Hypocreales; Hypocreaceae
Also listed under: 1 other name
Description: eukaryotic LSU rRNA
Rfam family: 5.8S ribosomal RNA (bases 213-366)
Source: RNAcentral